UACGGAGGGUGCGAGCGUUAAUCGGAAUUACUGGGCGUAAAGCGCGCGUAGGCGGUUUGUUAAGUCAGCUGUGAAAGCCCCGGGCUCAACCUUGGAACUGCAGUUGAUACUGACCGACUGGAGUACGAGAGAGGGAGGUAGAAUUCCAUGUGUAGCGGUGAAAUGCGUAGAGAUCGGGAGGAACACCGGUGGCGAAGGCGGGUCUCUGGGCAAUUCCUGACGCUGAGGCGCGAAAGCGUGGGGAGCAAACGGG
RNAcentral lists this ribosomal RNA (253 nucleotides) under uncultured bacterium. Its description in RNAcentral is "partial 16S ribosomal RNA". It matches the Rfam family "Bacterial small subunit ribosomal RNA", at positions 524 to 776 of the family's 1533-position model. The record is from RNAcentral.